CGCAUGACAAACCGAACCAAUCAGGUGAUUCGAAGCAGUUGAGUGCUUCAAACGUCACUGAAGUGAUUCAAACGUCACGAGUCACGUGACCAAAACACGCGUCGGCACAGUGGUUCGAUACGUUCGCUUCAUGAGCUUCUGGCUGCUGUUGACCUUGUUUUUGGAGUAAAACACGGUGGAAGCUGAAUUAGUGAGGAUGACUCCUGCUCCUGUCAUCUCUAAGCUCCUCACACAUCUUUACCUGCACAUGAAGAAAAUCACUCCUGUAGAAUGCAGAUGUUCAGAGGGAGAUGAUGCCACAUCUGGUCCAGCUGAUGGAAGGUCUUGAAGUUCUCUGACUGGCCUCGACUGAAGAUGGUCGUCUCACUGGAUUUAAGGUUCAGAUGCUCAGUAACAAACUCCACCAAUGUGCCAACAGGGAAGCUUUAGGUUUAUUAAAUGUUGCUAUGAAGGUUUUGCUGUUUUUCUUUGUGAAUGCAAUGUGCUCCAACUGAAACUUGAAUUAGAACUUAGAAGUAAAUCCUUCCAUCUGAAAGGAUUUAGUUGCAUUAAUAACCUCAUAACAUUCUAAUUUUUAUUUCAGUCUUGGUUGGAAAUAGAAUCUCUGUAUUGAUUCAGUUAAAAACUGAACUUUACAGCAUGUUGGAGCAAAACAACCAGAUGAAAACUAUGCUGGUGUUGGAUUGUCAGACCGUAAUGUUGCAGCUCAAACCAGCUUUUCUAGCUCAGUUCAUUCUGACAUUCAGCUAUGAAUCAACACAGCAGAUGGUGAUCCAUGCUGUGGAAGUCUCACAUCUCCUGAUUUAAUGGAGCUGCUUUGCACUUUUUACACUGUUUAUUCACCAACACUUUAUUUAAUAAAAGUCCCAUCUAGUUUUUAUGAGGAAUGUGAUGUUUUAAUUUCUCUGUGAAUAACUGCAGUCUAAUGCAACAGCUGGAGUUGUAACAUCUGUCCUGAUAUUGAUCAUGAAGUAUUGAUCAGAAUACUUACGGUUAGCAGUCAUCCCUGAAGAUUUACAUUAAAAUCUUUACUUGUGUUUUGAACUUUGGUACGAAGCAGAAACUUUAGCUUUGCCAUGGAUAUAAGUGUUAAAUUCUGUCCAUGUUUCCAUUGUGGGAAAUUCAGUCCAGCAGAUGAGUUUGUUUUUACUGCCAGCUACCAUUCAGUCUGAGAUAUUAAGAAUAAAUAAAUGUGCAUAAUGUGGAAAUGAACAGAUUUUAUUUUUAUUUAUUCCUACAGCUGCUGCAGGGAAUGUUCUCAAAUGUGGAGGAAUUUAGUCUCACAAUCACAGACAAUAAAUAUUAUCUGAAAGUCAGGGUAUUGUUGUUUAUCAGUGCAAUACAAAAAGAUUGAUGUUAGAAAUAUUCCAGUUAAGACUCUAGAAUAUAAUGAUCUAUGUAAAUUUACCUCAAUAAUAUGAAUGUUCAGGUUAAGAUUGUACAGUGAUAUUUAUUAUGCAAGUUUAGCUGAUUAAAGUUUAUAACUCUGCACUAAAAUAUUAUUUAAAUCGACAUCAUUAUUAUAAUAUUUAGGGUCAGACCCGACAGUAUUGAGAUUAAGAAAUCAAAUAUUCUAUAAAAUGUAAAUACACUGAACUCAUUUGGAUAUAUUUAAGUGAGACUCUACAAUAUUAUUUGACACAAAUCUAUCUAAAUUUUAAUAAUUUUCACGCCAAACAUUUACUGGACUGAUUUAAACAUUAAAAUCACUCCUUUCUAAUCCUCUGCUGUACUUUCAAACCUGAGGCCUUAAAUAGAAACACACAAGUAUCUGUUUGAAGGAACUUCUGCAGAGUCCUGGUUCCAGAACAUGAUGAUAGAAUUAUAGACAAACUUUAACAAAAGCUGCCUGAGAGUUUACAGGUUUUUAUGUGAGAUUUCUUCAGUAAUUUAAUGAGUUAUCAGCAGAAAUCAAGUGUUCAUUUGAUGAACUUCAUUUCCUAAAACAUCCAGAAUUGGAGCUCAUAUAUUUGGCAGCUGUAAAGUUUCUGCUCCUUCAAAGUUCACAACACAAUGAAUUAAUUCCUAAAACACUCAAUGCUGGAGAGCGUUUGUGAUGCUGAAGCAGUGACCAGUUUUUCUGUUUCUUCUCUGGAGAUGCACAAUGAGGGACGUCUGCAGCGACUGAGAAAGAGUCUCACCACAUCCUGACAUGAGGAAAAGACUUUAUUGAAGACUACAAUGAGAAAAACUAUCAGACAGCAGACGACAUGCAUUCAAGGUGAGCUCUGAACAUUUGAUCUGGAACAGGAAUUCAAUAACGGCAGCAUGAGCUUCAUUUCAGUCUGUAGCUGCUGAAUUCAUGGAUGAAUCAUCUGGCACUAGAGAGGAAGACCAUCAAACAUCCAUGUCAGCUGAUGGAGGUCCAAGAGUCUCACCGAACAAACAACCUACAGAGUAGUAAUGUGAGGAGACGUGCCGAGGCUUCGAAGCGUGUGCCGAGUAAUGGAGGGGGCGUUUCCACGAAGCGCGUAUCGAGGCUUGCUUUAUUUAGGGGAGGAGCCAAAAUGAUGACGUCCGAAGCCUCGCUGCCUGGCUAAACCACGUGACUGCUUCGGAAAGUGGUUCAGAUUUUGCCCCUCAGGCUCCGUUCAAAAUGUGGGUUUUUGAUAGAGAGUUGCGGUCAGUAUUCUACACGUGAGAAUUUAUCUACAGAAAUUAUUUGGUCAUACAUUUUCUUGUAUUUCAUAGUCAUUCCCAACAGCCAUAACCGAUAAAAUUUCAGUGCAUCAGACAUGUGGUUCAGAUACAGCUGCCUGUGAUUAUACACCUGGCCAGUAGGUGGCUUUGUGUGCUCAUGAAGCUUCAAGAAAUGAACCGUUUCUCGAACCAAUUGGCUCAAGUGGUUCAAUGCCUCAUGAGGCUUCAUCUCACGCUCACUACUACAGAGUGAAGACCUCGAAUCUGAUUGGACGGCCUCCUAUUCAGCCACAUGUGUGAACAAAUGACUCUAAGUUGAUUUAAUUUCUAAAAUAAAUCUAGUUUGAGUUCUAAUCUAUGUCUGUGUGUUUGUUUCUUUACACUGCUGUUAACAGUUUAGGCUGUUAGAUUGUUCCAGAUAAACUCUCUACAAGGAUCCAAAAUAAGUUGGGCUUCUACAUGAGAGCUUUAAUUAUUCUUCAUCUACUUCCUGAAAAGUUUGGUCAAUAAAAAAGACAAAAACUAAUAUUUUCAGUUGAACUAAAGACAGACUGUGAUUUUUCUGCUCACAUGUUGUGUUGUUGUAAACUUACUCUUUCAAAUAAAUACCCAUCUAACCCCUUGGAAACCAGCGUUUGUCCUGUUUUUGUGUUGCUCCUCAGCAACCCUAGACAGCCGGGUCGUAAUGUUUUUUGAGCAACACACCAUACUAUGAUGUUUUUACAAUGAUGGUUCUACUAUGGAACCAGUUUGACAUGUUCAGGUGUUCUUUGUGUGAAAAUUCUGAGAUUUCAGGUAUCAGAAGGUGGUUUUCAACUUUCUUUGUUAACUUUCUGCCUCAACUUGAAACUAAAUUUCCUUCACUAACCCAGCCCUCUGGACUUCCAGUAAGCUGUGUUCCUAUUGGCUGUCCAGGUGGCUGCUUGGUGUUAUCAGAAACACCUGAGCAGCUCAGUGUCUUCCUGCUUUAUUUGGCGACAGUCAAACAUUUCCUCUGCUUCUCUUCACCACAGAACUGGGUUUGGCUCCAUUGCUUUAGUUUGUUCUUUAGGCGUUGGCUUGCAGCUUCCAGCAGUAAAAUCAUCUUUAAUGUGUUUCCUGGUGUGUUUUAGGGCUUUGUACUGGAUAGUUGUCUUGGUAAAUGUGGUUUUUUAGCCACAGUUAGCACAUGGUGCUAAUGUGUGCAGUGAUUAGUGGAUUUGGUGCAGCUGAGUUGUGUCUUUAUCUUGGCUGUAGUGAGUCUUUAGAGGUUUUUGGUCAGACACAUUCUGUAUUCUUGUUUGAGAACCGAUGCUGAUUGUCCAGAAGGUAAGAGUUCCUGUCCUGAUUCUCUGUUCUCAGAGGUUCUCUGGUAGGCUGCAGGAGACUUUAGUGUUUGGGUUGUGCUAGUUUGGUUUUUGUAUGGUUUCAUUUGGAUGACUCUUGAGGCUCCUCCAUGUGGUUUAGUGAGGUUUUCUGCAACAGUUCUACAAAGCAACCUGCAGCAGAAGAGACUUUGAGAGUUUUUAGGAAGUUCUGGAGACCAGACUUUAGAGCAGCAGAAACAUUUGUCAGCAGUUUGAGCAGGAGAAGGUGAGCUUCAGAGUAGAAAUGAGACGGAAACCUUCUUAACCCAUGUGGUGAGGUCCUGUACCAAGAGUUUGAGCAGGUUGUGAAGAGUCUGUCGUUCUCUGGUCUGAAAGCACAAGAAGAGUCGACUCAUUAAAGGAGAAAACAGGAGAUAUU
Molecule: long non-coding RNA, 4365 nt
Organism: Amphiprion ocellaris (clown anemonefish)
Lineage: Eukaryota; Metazoa; Chordata; Actinopteri; Pomacentridae
Source: Ensembl